GUCUCGAGCCGAUGCGAGCCCAUUUCCAAGCUUAAGCAACACACACAUUCUUUUUCUCUCUCUCUCUUUGAAUAUUAAGUGCAAGUUGAAGGCAGCAUCUUUAAAAUAGAUGUAGAUUAACCGUGAGACGAUCAAAAAUAGUAAUAUUUUUCGAGAAGAAACAUAAACACGUUCUUUUCAUGGAAGGAAAAUGAAGAUAAAACAAAC
This 207-nucleotide long non-coding RNA is filed under the name Elaeis guineensis (African oil palm). RNAcentral's name for it is "long non-coding RNA (EGUI_LNC019289)". Lineage: Eukaryota; Viridiplantae; Streptophyta; Magnoliopsida; Arecales; Arecaceae. The record is from RNAcentral.